This 791-nucleotide long non-coding RNA is filed under the name Citrus x clementina. Its description in RNAcentral is "Citrus clementina (C. clementina) long non-coding RNA (CCLE_LNC006549)". Lineage: Eukaryota; Viridiplantae; Streptophyta; Magnoliopsida; Sapindales; Rutaceae. The record is from RNAcentral.
GAAUUUAGAUAAUCAACUAAAUAAAGAUAUUUGAAAAUCAUUCCAUUGAAAUUCCAUAGAACUUAACUUAGUCUCACAAAUAAUUUGUAAUUCACUGCAAUUUUAGAGAAAUAUUAGUUCUUGUAUUUAAAUUAUUUUAAGGAACUGAAUCGUAAUAUUUUGAAUUUAAUCCAAUCUUUCAUGUGGCUUUGUUGAAUAACUUCUCUUGCAUCUUGAUUGAGCCCCAAUUUCUCCUCAGCGUUUUUCACAAAUGACUUUGCUUUCGAGAUGGAAAACAACAAGGCAGCAGUGUGGCUAGAAUGUGUUCCUCACGCCCCCAAGAAAGCAACUGCACUACAAUGCAUCCGUCAGGAUUAAAAAGGAUUAGGUGCAUGACGGUACAUGGAAUGCUAUGCAAUAGCGCUUACAUGAUUGAUUGUCUGUCAAGGAAGGUCAAAGGUCUCCUAAAUCACGUGAUCACAACCAUUCACCGUAGAACAACAGUCAGGAAACGGGAAUUGGAACUAAUCCGAACACUAUGCUGUACGCAUGUAUUACUCCCGAUCUGAAAUCAGACAGAACUAAGAACAAAAUUUCAUCCCGAUUAAUAAUUCGGAAAGUUUGUAAACUCAAUCCCCGGUAGAUCUCGAUGACCUGGUUAUUUUUUUCUUGAAAAAAGAAAAAAAGAAUUUUUUUUUCUACCUUAAUAAUUUAAUUGAGUUAAUUUUAAUUUAAGACUCCAAUUAAGAUUAGAGUUGAAAUGUUUUUGGGGUUACGGUUGAAAUGUAAUAACCAGUUUAUUUUAUAAGUUU